Non-coding RNA from Chlorocebus sabaeus (green monkey), 455 nucleotides. The record is from RefSeq and is a predicted model, not a curated record. Lineage: Eukaryota; Metazoa; Chordata; Mammalia; Primates; Cercopithecidae.
AGCUACUUCAGAGUUGCAGGAUAAAGAUUUCUAGGGAAGAGGGCAGGGCCAGGCGCCCGGAGAAUUUCCAGCCACGGGCUAGUUUACCAAGAGAAAGAGCUGCGGGCGUCUCUCCCUCUUUUACAUAAGAAAGCAAGAGCUUUCUUCUGGCACAUCUGGUUUAUGUGAAUACAUUAGUGAGUUUCCCAGGAAGCCGCAGCAUCACACAAAGGCCCAUGAUCAUUUCACCAGUACACUGUAUCCUGACAAUAGCCUGGUGUCACAGCUAAGUCCUGGACGGAGAAUUGGCAAAUGUGUGCUCUUUCCUGGACCUGCAACUAAUGUCUCUUACAAGUCCCAUAACUGGAACUUCUUCAUCUUAAGAAAAUAAAAAGGGGCUGGGCAUGGUGGCUUAUGCUUGUAAUCCCAGCACUUUGGGAGGCCGAAGUGGGAGGAGUGCUUGAGCCUGGGAAGGA